Molecule: ribosomal RNA, 253 nt
Filed under: uncultured bacterium
Lineage: Bacteria
Description: partial 16S ribosomal RNA
Rfam family: Bacterial small subunit ribosomal RNA
Source: RNAcentral
UACGUAGGAGGCAAGCGUUGUCCGGAAUCAUUGGGCGUAAAGGGCGCGUAGGUGGCUCGGUCAGCGUGCGGUGAAAGCUCGGGGCUCAACCCCGAGUCGGCCGUGCGAACUGCUGGGCUGGAGCACUGUAGAGGCAGGCGGAAUUCCGGGUGUAGCGGUGGAAUGCGUAGAGAUCCGGAAGAACACCGGUGGCGAAGGCGGCCUGCUGGGCAGUGGCUGACACUGAGGCGCGACAGCGUGGGGAGCAAACAGG